This 96-nucleotide small RNA is filed under the name Klebsiella aerogenes. RNAcentral's name for it is "partial RtT sRNA". It matches the Rfam family "RtT RNA", at positions 1 to 94 of the family's 130-position model. From Rfam's summary of the family: This family represents a bacterial cis-regulatory element known as RtT RNA. The exact function of RtT is unknown although it is thought that it may be involved in changing the cellular response in relation to amino acid starvation. Lineage: Bacteria; Pseudomonadati; Pseudomonadota; Gammaproteobacteria; Enterobacterales; Enterobacteriaceae. The record is from RNAcentral.
UAUUCUGCCCUACGGGGAAGGAUGAGAAGCUUCGACUAAGGUUCGACUCGAGCGUCAGCGAGAGAACGUUGCCGCAGGCAACGGCCCGAAGGGCGA